GAUGAAGAACGUAGCGAAAUGCGAUAAGUAAUGUGAAUUGCAGAAUUCAGUGAAUCAUCGAAUCUUUGAACGCACCUUGCGCCCUUUGGCCAUUCCGAAGGGCAUGCCUGUUUGAGUAUCAUGAACACCUCAACUCUCAUGGCUUGCCAUGAUGAGCUUGGACUUUGGGGGUCUUGCUGGCCUGUGGUCGGCUCCUCUCAAAUGAAUCAGCUUGCCAGUGUUUGGUGGCAUCACAAGUGUGAUAACUAUCUGCGCUCGUGGUUUCCAUCAGAUAACCUCCAGUGACGGAGGUUCGCUGGAGCUCAUAAAUGUCUCUCCUAAGCGAGGACAGCUCUUUUAAUGUUUGAUCUCAAAUCAGGUAGGACUACCCGCUGAACUUAAGCAUAUCAAUAAGCGGAGGA
This 401-nucleotide unclassified non-coding RNA is filed under the name soil metagenome. RNAcentral's name for it is "partial contains 5.8S ribosomal RNA, internal transcribed spacer 2, and large subunit ribosomal RNA". The stretch from base 1 to 121 matches the Rfam family "5.8S ribosomal RNA", at positions 35 to 154 of the family's 154-position model. The record is from RNAcentral.